This 576-nucleotide ribosomal RNA is filed under the name uncultured Bacteroidales bacterium. RNAcentral's name for it is "bacterial SSU rRNA". It matches the Rfam family "Bacterial small subunit ribosomal RNA", at positions 51 to 616 of the family's 1533-position model. Lineage: Bacteria; Pseudomonadati; Bacteroidota; Bacteroidia; Bacteroidales. The record is from RNAcentral.
ACACAUGCAAGUCGAGGGGCAGCAUGGUCUUAGCUUGCUAAGACUGAUGGCGACCGGCGCACGGGUGAGUAACACGUAUCCAACCUGCCGUCUACUCUUGGACAGCCUUCUGAAAGGAAGAUUAAUACAAGAUGGCAUCAUGAGUCCGCAUGUUCACAUGAUUAAAGGUAUUCCGGUAGACGAUGGGGAUGCGUUCCAUUAGAUAGUAGGCGGGGUAACGGCCCACCUAGUCUUCGAUGGAUAGGGGUUCUGAGAGGAAGGUCCCCCACAUUGGAACUGAGACACGGUCCAAACUCCUACGGGAGGCAGCAGUGAGGAAUAUUGGUCAAUGGGCGAGAGCCUGAACCAGCCAAGUAGCGUGAAGGAUGACUGCCCUAUGGGUUGUAAACUUCUUUUAUAAAGGAAUAAAGUCGGGUAUGGAUACCCGUUUGCAUGUACUUUAUGAAUAAGGAUCGGCUAACUCCGUGCCAGCAGCCGCGGUAAUACGGAGGAUCCGAGCGUUAUCCGGAUUUAUUGGGUUUAAAGGGAGCGUAGAUGGAUGUUUAAGUCAGUUGUGAAAGUUUGCGGCUCAACCGU